UGACAAGAAUAAAAAGCGCCGAGACCUUCUCUUCGUCCAUUUUGGAGCAGCUUCUUCUCUGCUGUUUUGACCCACGAUGAGCAUGAAGUGCAUGGGCUCAUGGGAAGUUUCUGUGCUGUCCACUGGGAUGAAUAGACUGAGAUCUGUUAAAUUCAAAGCCACCUUCACAUGAACUUUGAGAGCUUGAUGACCAUGGGUUGAGUUGGUUCCCCCCCACCUUUUUUGGUCAUGGUGCACCAUAAUGAUGUUCAGGUAGUGUCUGCACAAUGAGCUCUCACCAAGGACCUGCAACUCCCAAGGGCUUGUUUGGGUUUGUCCAAGAUUGAGUGGCUGAACUCCUUUGGUGAUUAUUAGGUUGCAUACCUGUAGUACACUCAACAGGUGGCACACCUGAUGUGGUGAAUUCACAGGACUGCAGUGGAUUUUUCAAGUUCUGCUCCCUUGAAUACUGAAUCUGUUCCAUGGACUGACCUUUUUAAAGGUCAGAAGUUGAGCUGGCUGAAGCCCGAUGUUCAUCCCUGUGCUACAGAUCUGCUGGACUGAAGUGUUGACUGGUGUUAAUGACUGCCAGAACUUAUUUUUUUGUAGUUUAUUUCUAAGAUUGCGAAAUAAAUGGCUAUUUGAA
Onychostoma macrolepis is the source of this 625-nucleotide long non-coding RNA. RefSeq lists it as uncharacterized. The transcript is spliced from 12 exons. The record is from RefSeq and is a predicted model, not a curated record. Lineage: Eukaryota; Metazoa; Chordata; Actinopteri; Cypriniformes; Cyprinidae.